UUUCGCAAUGCCCGAAAGGGUGACGAAGCGACGCCGCGUGCGGGAAGAAGGCCUUCGGGUUGUAAACCGCUGUCGGGAGUUAAGAAAUGCAAGGGUGUUAAUAGUAUCCAUGCUUGACUAAGGACACGGAGGAAGCCACGGCUAACUCUGUGCCAGCAGCCGCGGUAAUACAGAGGCGGCAAGCGUUGUUCGGAAUUAUUGGGCGAAAAGAGCACGUAGGCCACUAUAUAAGUCGGUUGUGAAAGCCUUCCGCUCAACGGGAGAACAGCAUCCGAUACUGUGUGGCUUGAGUGUGGGAGGGGCAAGCGGAACUUCUGGUGGAGCGGUGAAAUGCGUAGAUAUCAGAAGGAACGCCGGCGGCGAAAGCGGCUCUCUGGCCCAUAACUGACGCUGAGUGUGCGAAAGCUAGGGGAGCAAAACGGAUUAGAUACCCCGGUAGUCCUAGCCGUAAACGAUGGGCACUAAGUAGAGGGGUAUU
RNAcentral lists this ribosomal RNA (478 nucleotides) under uncultured Planctomycetales bacterium. RNAcentral's name for it is "bacterial SSU rRNA". It matches the Rfam family "Bacterial small subunit ribosomal RNA", at positions 364 to 832 of the family's 1533-position model. Lineage: Bacteria; Pseudomonadati; Planctomycetota; Planctomycetia; Planctomycetales. The record is from RNAcentral.